GUGGGGAAUAUUGGACAAUGGGGGCAACCCUGAUCCAGCAAUGCCGCGUGUGUGAAGAAGGCCUGAGGGUUGUAAAGCACUUUCAGUGGGGAGGAGGAUUGACAGGUUAAGAGCUAGUUAAUUGGACGUUACCCAUAGAAGAAGCACCGGCUAACUCCGUGCCAGCAGCCGCGGUAAUACGGAGGGUGCAAGCGUUAAUCGGAAUUACUGGGCGUAAAGGGUGCGUAGGUGGUUGUAUAAGUUAACUGUGAAAUCCCCGGGCUCAACCUGGGCAGGUCAGUUAAGACUGUAUGACUCGAGUAUGGGAGAGGGUAGUGGAAUUUCCGGUGUAGCGGUGAAAUGCGUAGAGAUCGGAAGGAACACCAGUGGCGAAGGCGGCUACCUGGCCCAAUACUGACACUGAGGCACGAAAGCGUGGGGAGCAAACAGGAUUAGAAACCCCUGUAGUCC
RNAcentral lists this ribosomal RNA (450 nucleotides) under uncultured bacterium. RNAcentral's name for it is "partial 16S ribosomal RNA". It matches the Rfam family "Bacterial small subunit ribosomal RNA", at positions 354 to 796 of the family's 1533-position model. The record is from RNAcentral.